UACGAGGGGAGCAAGCGUUGUUCGGAUUUACUGGGCGUAAAGCGCACGCAGGCGGUCUUGUCAGUCUGUAGGGACAGGGCACAGCUCAACUGUGUCAGGCUUACGGAAACUGCAAGACUUGAGGGCUUCAGAGGGAUGGGGAAUUCCGGGUGGAGUGGUGAAAUGCGUAGAUAUCGGGAAGAACACCGGUGGCGAAGGCGGCUCGCUGGGCCGUUGCUGACGCUGAGGCGCGAAAGCGUGGGGAGCAAACAGG
This 253-nucleotide ribosomal RNA is filed under the name uncultured prokaryote. Its description in RNAcentral is "partial 16S ribosomal RNA". It matches the Rfam family "Bacterial small subunit ribosomal RNA", at positions 524 to 776 of the family's 1533-position model. The record is from RNAcentral.